This 775-nucleotide ribosomal RNA is filed under the name uncultured Neocallimastigales. Its description in RNAcentral is "partial large subunit ribosomal RNA". It matches the Rfam family "Eukaryotic large subunit ribosomal RNA", at positions 18 to 645 of the family's 3401-position model. Lineage: Eukaryota; Fungi; Neocallimastigomycota; Neocallimastigomycetes; Neocallimastigales. The record is from RNAcentral.
UCAGACGAUGCGUCAUGCAUAUCAAUAAGCGGAGGAAAAGAAACUAACAAGGAUUCCCCUAGUAACGGCGAGUGAAGCGGGAAGAGCUCAAAUUUGAAAUCUUAAAGGGUUUCCCUUUACGAAUUGUAGUUUAAAGAAGUGUUUUCUGUUGAGGUUUUGGUAAAAGUUCUUUGGAAUAGGACAUCAUAGAGGGUGAGAAUCCCGUAUUUGACCUUUACUUUCAACUUUGUGAUACACUUUCAGAGAGUCGGAUUGUUUGGGAAUGCAGUCCAAAAUGGGUGGUAAAUUUCAUCUAAAGCUAAAUAUUGGCGAGAGACCGAUAGCGAACAAGUACCGUGAGGGAAAGAUGAAAAGAACUUUGAAAGGAGAGUUAAACAGUACGUGAAAUUGUCAAAAGGGAAAGCGUUUGACACCAGUGUUGUUUUUCUGAAAAUCAAUUAAAGAACUGUUUAUGCUAAGCUGUUUAGACUUUAUCAGCUAUCUGUUUAGUUUUGAGCUUUUCUUUAAUGCACUUUUCAGUUAACAAGUCAACAUCAAUUUCUUUUGCUGUAAAAAAGCUUGAGGAAGGUGGCUUGAGAUUCGUCUUAAGUGUUUAUAGCCUCUUGCCUAUGCAGUCGGAGAGAUUGAGGUCUGCAGCGUAGAUCCUUCGGGGCUAAAUGCAUUUGUGCUAAGUUAUAGCAUUUUAUAGACAACUUGUUGACUAUGAUUUGUCUUGUAGCUUACUCGCUUAUGUUAUUUUACCUACGCUUAGGAUGUUGAGCGCAUGUCUCUCUCU